RNAcentral lists this transfer RNA (65 nucleotides) under Sambus femoralis. RNAcentral describes it as "tRNA-Asn". The record is from RNAcentral. Lineage: Eukaryota; Metazoa; Arthropoda; Insecta; Coleoptera; Buprestidae.
UUAACUAAAACCAAAAAGAGGUGUACCACUGUUAAUGGUAUAAUUAAGGUUAACCUUUAGUUAAA